CGGCGGGCUGCUACACAAUGUUUCCCUUCAGUCGGGAGGGGAAAUGGAGGGAGGCCAGACUUCCUGAUCACAUGAUGCUGAAGUCAAUGAAAAAAAAUGAAGGGGGACCCCUCCCAUGCGCUGGGGUGCGCGGGCCAGGGCCCCCCACCCACCCCCUCGGGCCGCGCGGCCGGGGAAGCGCAGGCUCGCGGGCGGGCGCGGGGCCAGGCGCAGGACGGGGCAAACAUAAACACCAGAUCGGUGCAGUAAUUGGCGGCUCCGAGAUCGCUGAGGAAAUGAGAGGCUUGUACGAAACAUCAGCCGACAAGAAACGGGGUGAUGUCAGACAGCCUUCCAGGAUUAGAAACCCUUAAAAGCUCCGAGCCCGCGGCGGCUGCGGAAAAGCGCGCUCCUCUCUGGCUCUCCGGCAGGUGUUGCCACUUUGGGAGGUUGUGGAGCCGCUAAGAAGCAGAUCCUAACUGGAGCAAGUGGGUCACAAGAGACAGGAAGAUUGGAAGCUGAUGUCCACUUCUGGUUCUGACUCAAGCACUCUACUUCCUGAUCUGCCAACAUAUGAAUAGAAUAGUCUGCAAGCUUCUGCCACCACCAAGAACUGAACCACUUGGGUAGCCAUGCUUGCCCUGUCAUGAUGAACUAUAUCCCUGGAAGUUGUAUGCAAACAUAAAUCAUUUCUUCCUUGAGUUGCUUCUUUCAGAUUCUUUCCAAUAGUGAGAAGAAAAG
This 720-nucleotide long non-coding RNA is filed under the name Cricetulus griseus (Chinese hamster). RNAcentral describes it as "lncRNA (ENSCGRG00015040236.1)". Lineage: Eukaryota; Metazoa; Chordata; Mammalia; Rodentia; Cricetidae. The record is from RNAcentral.